RNAcentral lists this ribosomal RNA (454 nucleotides) under uncultured soil bacterium. RNAcentral's name for it is "bacterial SSU rRNA". It matches the Rfam family "Bacterial small subunit ribosomal RNA", at positions 27 to 517 of the family's 1533-position model. The record is from RNAcentral.
GGAACGAACGCUGGCGGCAUGCCUAAUACAUGCAAGUCGAACGAAGGCUUCGGCCUUAGUGGCGCACGGGUGCGUAACGCGUGGGAAUCUGCCCCUUGGUUCGGAAUAACAGUUGGAAACGACUGCUAAUACCGGAUGAUGACGAAAGUCCAAAGAUUUAUCGCCAAGGGAUGAGCCCGCGUAGGAUUAGCUAGUUGGUGAGGUAAAGGCUCACCAAGGCGACGAUCCUUAAGCUGGUCUGAGAGGAUGAUCAGCCACACUGGACUGAGACACGGCCCAGACUCCUACGGGAGGCAGCAGUAGGGAAUAUUGGACAAUGGGCGAAAGCCUGAUCCAGCAAUGCCGCGUGAGUGACUAGAAGGCCUUAGGGUAGUAAAGCUCUUUUACCGAGAUGAUAAAUGACAGUAUCGGAGAAUAAGGCCCCCGGACUAACCGUACCGUGUCCAGCAGCCCG